GCCGAAGUGGUGGAAUUGGUAGACGCGCUGGACUCAAAAUUCAGUGGGGGUAACCCCGUGCCGGUUCGAUUCCGGCCUUCGGUA
Molecule: transfer RNA, 84 nt
Filed under: Spirochaetia bacterium
Lineage: Bacteria; Pseudomonadati; Spirochaetota; Spirochaetia
Description: tRNA-Leu
Rfam family: tRNA
About the family: Transfer RNA (tRNA) molecules are approximately 80 nucleotides in length. Their secondary structure includes four short double-helical elements and three loops (D, anti-codon, and T loops).
Source: RNAcentral